AUUGAACGCUGGCGGCAGGCUUAACACAUGCAAGUCGAGCGGGGGAAGGUAGCUUGCUACCGGACCUAGCGGCGGACGGGUGAGUAAUGCUUAGGAAUCUGCCUAUUAGUGGGGGACAACAUCUCGAAAGGGAUGCUAAUACCGCGUACGUCCUACGGGAGAAAGCAGGGGAUCUUCGGACCUUGCGCUAAUAGAUGAGCCUAAGUCGGAGUAGCUAGUUGGUGGGGUAAAGGCCUACCAAGGCGACGAUCUGUAGCGGGUCUGAGAGGAUGAUCCGCCACACUGGGACUGAGACACGGCCCAGACUCCUACGGGAGGCAGCAGUGGGGAAUAUUGGACAAUGGGGGGAACCCUGAUCCAGCCAUGCCGCGUGUGUGAAGAAGGCCUUAUGGUUGUAAAGCACUUUAAGCGAGGAGGAGGCUACUUUAGUUAAUACCUGGUGAUAGUGGACGUUACUCGCAGAAUAAGCACCGGCUAACUCUGUGCCAGCCGCCGCAGUAA
RNAcentral lists this ribosomal RNA (501 nucleotides) under uncultured bacterium. RNAcentral describes it as "partial 16S ribosomal RNA". It matches the Rfam family "Bacterial small subunit ribosomal RNA", at positions 30 to 523 of the family's 1533-position model. The record is from RNAcentral.